Long non-coding RNA from Salvelinus fontinalis (brook trout), 8824 nucleotides. RefSeq lists it as uncharacterized. NCBI's taxonomy places the organism in Eukaryota, Metazoa, Chordata, Actinopteri, Salmoniformes, Salmonidae. The transcript has 3 exons. The record is from RefSeq and is a predicted model, not a curated record.
AUGUAUUUGGUGGGCCUUUCUGGGCUCCCAGAUUCACACACCCGAGCAUCAUUACUCUAAUUGAAGAUUAGGGGCUUAUUGACGUCGACUCAAUUGCAGUCAGUGACUGAUCUACAAAUCACCUUGCAGUAUAAAUAACUAUUCAUGAUCAUUUAGAGAUCAGUCAGUCAGUCACCCACAAUGCAUCACAGCGUUGAUGGGCCGCGUUCAAGAAUAUCAAAACCGCAAGGUAUCAUGGGUAAAUUGUUUACCGAUUGACUGAUCUACAAAUAUGAAUGAGUCUUUAUUUAUGAUGUAAGGUGAUUUGUAGAUCAGUUAGCCUGCAGUCGUUUUGAUGCUCUCGAACAAUAGGAAGAGCUCAAUUGCAACGCCACGGGUCCUCUCUCCUCGGCUCCUUCUCAAAACCCAUUGGAUAAGAAAGCCAAAGGUUCUUCCCCCUGACUUUCUCCUCCAAUGGUUUUUGAGAAGGAAACGAGGAGAGAGCAAUUGAGAUCUUCCCAGGGGCAAGUUGUUGACGCUUGACAGCUGGCCCUAAUUAGCAUGUUAGCGACUACGAUUGACAGUUAAGUUUGAACGUGGAAGUUGAGGAAAAAGUUGGUGAAGCAACCGCUGUACUGGAUUGCAAAGAAUAUUGGUGUCAGUUCUGAUGGUAUGGAGUGGGAGGAUGAGGGUCAAGGACUGGAAUGGCCUGUAGUGGAAAGACAAAGGAAGAAGAGAGAUCAUGAUACUGAAAGCAGUGGAGAGUCUAGUAAAGAAAGCCAAGGUAAGAAGCAAGAGUAAUAAUGUGUUGGAGUGGAAAGUCCCGAUGGUUUUUGAGAACACAUGGCCUCAUUUACACCUUAUCCGACUUUCUAAUUAAUGUUGUAGAGAAAGAGGUAGUGUUGAUGACACAAGUUUACUGGAGAACUGAGACGAAGUAGAGACUCUGGACAGGGUGGAUAUUCGUAUAAUAAAAAGCAGUUUUAUUCAGAGGUAAAGAUAUCUGAUACAAACAUGCAUGGACUCGUUCAUUCAGCUCGUAAGGAACCUUCAGACAGAGCCCAGAUAACAGAAAUACAUAGUCAUUUUAUACAGCACAGAAAGUAGGUUGAGUCUGGUAGAUCUGGUUUUCUGGUUGGUCCUGAUCAGGUUGUUGUCUUCUCAGAUUGGUCCGGAUGAGCUGUGCAUCAUCCUUCUGAGUCUUGCAUCAAAAGUUCUUUGUUACCAAAUGUUCAGCUAAAACAGGAGAUUAGGUGUGUGCGCAGAUGUUCCUAUUUAAUCGGUGUUUAUGAAAGGUUUAUGUCAGCCCUCUGUCCUUGGUUAUGUGUGUGUCUCAUUAUCUCGUGAAAUGCAGACCCAAGCACUCUUGCUCAAGGCCUUUCCUGCCUUAUCAGUGUUUAUGAAUGUUCUGUGUCAGCCAUCUGUCUCUGGGUGUGUGUGGGUCUCAGUUUCUGCUUGUGAGAAACCCUGUUUUAGAAAGAAGUUAGUUAUAACAAUGUAAUAGCAAUAUGCUUGUGUUAUUUAAAAUGGUAUUUAUUACAGUAGGUGAGGUCAAAUUAGCUCGGUUCAUUGGAAGUGGUAGAUUGUUAAUAUUUUGUCGUAACCAAGCUCAGCAAGAGAAGAUUCUGAAGAUUAAAAGACACGUUCCUGGUACUUAUGCAAGAUUGAGGGGAGUCGUCAAUGGGGUCCCAAUAUGUAUGUCCAUAGACGAUAUUAAAGAAAAUGUGAAGGGAGGAAGAGUGAAUGAGGCCAAAAGUUUUAUUAGUAGGAAAGCUGGUCAAAGAAGUGAAAGCCUAUCAGUACUGCUUACGUUUGAGAAAGUCAUGCCUGGGAAAGUACAGAUAAGAUUCAUUAGUUUCAAUGUCAGAGAAUUUGUCCCAUCUCCAUUUCCGUCUUAUCAAACUUUGUCACAUGCACCGAAUACAACAAGUGUAGACCUUAGAGUGAAACGCUUAUUUACAAGCCCUUAACCAACAGUGCAGUUUAAAACCUUUCUGGAUCACCCAUCCCGGAUCCGGGAUCAUUCUCAUCAGAAACGCUGACUAGCAUAGCCUAGCCUAGCGCCACAGGGAUAUCAUAAUAUAAUUUCAUGAAAUCACAAGUCCAAUACAGCAAAUGAAAGAUAAACAUCUUGUGAAUCCAGCCAACAUGUCCGAUUUUUACAAUGUUUUACAGCGAAAACACAACCUUUAUGUUAGCACACCACCAUAUCCCAAAAAACACAGCCAUUUUUCACUGCAAAGAUAGCUUUCACAAAACCCACAAAUAGAGAGAAAAUUAAUCACUAACCUUUGAACAACUUCAUCAGAUGACAGUCUUAUGACAUCAUGUUAUACAAUACAUUUAUGUUUUGUUCGAUAAUGUGCAUAUUUAUAGCCAGAAAUCGUGGUUUUACAUUGGCGCCAUGUUCAGAAAUGGCUCCAAAAUAGCGAAAGUAAUUACAGAUAGCAACGUGAAAUACAGAAAUACUCAUCAUAAACUUUGAUUAAAGAUACACUGGUUCUUAAUGCAACCGCUGUGUUAGAUUUAAAAAAUAACUUUAGUAAAAAGCACAGCAUGCAAUAAUCUGAGACAGCGCUCAGCCAUUCUCCGCCAUGUUGGAGUCAACAGAGUCAACAGAAAUACGAAAUAACAUCUUAAAUUUUCCCUUACCUUUGAACUUUCCUCAGAAUGCAGUGCCAGGAAUCCUAGUUCCACAAUAAAUCGUUGUUUUGUUUUAUAAUGCCCAUUACGUCUGUCGAAUUAGCAACUUUGGCUAGCAUGUGUAGCUCACGUGUCCAUAAACAUUUGCGCAAUGAACGAAAACUUCAAAAAGUGAUAUUAAAAGUCGAAUAAACUGGUCAAACUCAUUUGAGAAUCAAUCUUCAGGAUGUUUUUCUCAAAUAUAUCCAAUAACGUCCCAGACUGAGAAUUUCUUCAUGUCUAUCUAACACAUUGCAGACAAAGAAAUGACAUUCCCAAUGUGCGCGGCCAAGUACUGGCAAUCUGCCUGACCUGUCACUCCAAAGGCUCUCAUUCGGUCCCACAUCAGGCUAGACGCUUCAUUCCACGUUCUACUGCCUGUUGACAUCUAGUGGAAGGCGUAUGAAGUGCAUACAGAUCCAUAAAUAUAAUGCAAUUGAAUAGGCGAUGCCUUUCACAGCGACCCAAUUCAGAAUUUUCACUUCCUUGUUUGGAAGUUUGCCUGCCAUAUGAGUUCUGUUUUACUCACAGAUAUAAUUCAAACAGUUUUAGAAACUUCAGUGUUUUCUAUCCAAUAGUAAUAAUAAUAUGCAUAUCAUAUGAUCUAGGACAGAGUACGAGGCCGUUUAAUUUGGGCACAAAUUCAUCCAAAAGUGAAAAUGUUGCCCCCUAUACCUAAGAAGCGUUUAGAAAAUAUUUACCAAGUAAACUAUAGUUGAAAGAAAAAAUAAAUAAUAAAAAGUAACACAAUAAUGAGGCUAUAUACAGGAGGUACCAGUACUGAGGUAGUGUGUGGCGGUACAGGUUAGUUGAGGUAAUUUGUACAUGUAGGUAGGGGUGAAGUGACUAUGUAUAGAUAAUAAACAGUGAGUAGUAGCAGUGUACAAAACAAAUGGAGGGGGUCAAUGUAAUAGUCCGGUGGCCAUUUAAUUAAUUGUUAAUCAGUUUUAUGGCUUGGGGGUAGAAGUUGUUAAGGAGCCUUUUGGUCCUGGACUUGGCACUCCGGUACCGCUUGCCGUGCGGUAGCAGAGAGAACAGUGUAUAACGUGGGUGACUGGAGUCUUUCCUCUGACAUCGCCAAUUAUAUAGGUCCUGGAUGGCAGGAAGCUUGGCCCCAGGGAUGUACUGGGCCUUAAGCACUAUCCUCUGUAGCGCCUUAUGGUCAGAUGCCGAGCAGUUGCCAUACUUUUAAAUGCAAAAGAAUGGGACAUGUCGCAGUUCAAUGUAAAGGAAGGAACUGAUAUGCUAAGUGUGGAGGGGAACACGAUUAUGGUGAAUGUGGGCGCAAUGUGAAGGGUAAGUGUUGCAAUUGUGGUGGGGACAUAGUUUAGCAUUUGGUGGAUGCCAGGUGCAGAGAGGGGCUCGGCGAUAUAGAAGUUGUCAUGAUGUAUCAUAUGUAAAGGCUAUAAGACCGAUUUGAUGGAACUACAGUAUGGAAUGAUGGAGCUUCCAAUGCUGCUCCUGUACUAAGUGGACCUAAUGUCGGGGCUGGUGUUUCUGCUGGUUCUGGCAUGGUUUUGCGGCCUAUUCAGAAAUCUUGCGCUCAUGAAUGUGCGGCGUCAAAGGACACUUAGAUAAUUGUCAUGAUGUGGCCCUUUCUGGGUAUAGAUCGUGGCUUACUCCCCUCACUCUCUCCUACACCCAGGUUCUGUUAUCUCAGGUUGUAAAUUCCUGGUGGAGACUCUCUCCCCAUGGCCAUGCAGUAUAGAGAGAGUGAGUUUCACAGUAGAACAAAGGAACUUCUCCUACAUCACAGAAUUUGAGAACUGAACAAUAUCCAUGUUUUGGAGAAUGUGUAAAUGGUCGGUAGAGAAGCCAGCUACGACCCGGUCCGUUUUGUUUCAUGUUUGUGACCUCAUGAAAAACAAUACAGCCACAUUUCCAUAACUCUGUUUACACAGGUGCCUCCGUUAUGACAUUUGUAUCUAAUUAUUGUAUAAAAUGAAUGAGUAAAGAUGAAACUAUUUGUGAAAUGAUGUAAUGUGAUGUUAAACCUUUAAUGUGAGAGAAUUGUAUUCCCUUUAAAGUUUAACUAAGUCAUUGGCCCGUCCCCGUCCCCGUGAGCACAGACAUGAUCUGGCGUCAUAGAACCACCUUUUCAAAUGUUACGAAUAAAACCCCCUCCUGAGGAAAUCCUCUUCAGACCACGCAUACCUCGGUGUAAGCUGGAGCAUUGGCUACACAGCUGUAAACGGUUCAACUCUGAGACUAUCGGUCCCAACAGAAUAAGAGCAAAUCUUUAUGAGAACAUUUCUGAAUGGUACUCUGAAGUAUCCAUUCUAACCACGAAAGACUUUGAUCUUCAGGGAAACGGAAAGAGAGCGAGAGGGAGACUCGGAUGAACUCUCCAGCAGAUGGACUGGAUUUCAACAGAAAAGAUCAUGACACAUGGGCGUAAAUAUAUAUUGAUUACAAUUAUUCCCGAAUGAGUUAGCGUUCAUGAGCAAAGGAUUAGCAUUUCAAUUAAUAUAGUUAUCAAUGGUUUGUAGUGAUCCCUUUUGUCUUUCCCGCACUUUCUCAGUCCACACCCACUUUCCUUUGUCCAGCAAGCCGUCAUAUCAGCUUAGCCCACUAUCAUUUGUUAGUAACAUAUCUACUGUUUGUUUGUUUGUUCAUUUUUUGUUAGUUAGUAAAUAAAUGAUUAAGCCAAUUGGUGUAUGGAUAAUUCAUAGUAAAGGCUGGGUUCGUGCAGAUAACCAACAAUUUACAACGUUUGGAAUGAGACUGACGUGAGGUAAGGAAUAAUUCAUUAAUAGAAGACUAAUUUAUCAGAUAUUAAAAUAUUUGAAAAGUUAUAUUCGGAAAAUUAUAACAUGGUAAUCUGAAGAUUUUCUGUGGUGCCCUGACUUCCUAGUUAAUUACAUUUACAUGAUUAGUUUAAUUCCGUAAUAAUAAUUACAGAGAAUUUAUUUGAUAAAAUAACAGUCUUCACUUUUAAUUAUGCCAAAGACACGACAUAAUGAAUAAAGUUAUCAAUACGACUCGGGUUGUCGAAAGCAGAAAUGGCAAAAGAGAUAUUUGGGGUAGCGGAUUUUGCUGUUAAAUGUUGUUGACAUGCUGAACAAACCUAAGGGUGGAGCAUUUCAGUAUGUUAUAGAUCAAGUUUAAAUGGGUAGGGGUGUUGGAGGGUUUUUUGUGGUAGAAGUUAGUGUGGAUUUAUUUGGCUGUUAUUUUCAUGGUAGUACAGAAUCGGGCAGAUCAUGAUGGAUCGUACAUUCCUGCGCAGUAGGUGGCGGCAUGCACUUAAGCGAUUGUUUGUGGAUCUCAAUGAUAUCAUAGAGUGAGCGAGUUCAUCAUAAGCACAGUUCAGGUGCUGGUUGUACUGUUGGGACAUCUUUUGCUCUUAGCUUGCGCCACUGCAGGGCAAUUAAGCUAAUGGCUAGCAACGUCCCAUUGUCCACACAAGUAAGUAUGUCUACAACAAACAAUAUGACAACCUACAUCAAGUUGUAUUUCGGUCACCAGCAAUAAAGCUUCUGUUGCUGCUCCAAGUGUACUAACUCCUUGGUAUUGGUAAGUAGGCCUAUUAGACUACUCAACCCCUUUUAGCCUGUGGUCAGCACACCUUGCAAGGUCAUUGGAAAACUAUUGAAAUAGAUUGAUGGGAUCCACACAUAGGCAAGGUGAAGUAAUGAAGGCAGAAUGUCCGCCUUCAGCACUAACACCUUCCCACUAAAGGAUAGUCGCCUCACUUAAGGGUGUUUCUGUGUUCCCUCUAGCUACAGAUUGUAACACCAGAUAAUGUGAUUUAACCCCCCAAAAUAGGACCAUUAUACUGGUAGUUACAGGUGUGGCUAUACAAAACGUCACCAGAGAUGUUUCAACUGACCUGAUAUUGGUGAUACUAUCUUCUGUAAACGGGAGUCUCAUAAAAUGUCAGUGUCCGGGCGAGGUUAUGGAUAACUUCCGGGUCUCCCGCACCGUGAGCCUGGCGCUUGGAGAAAGGGCCCUUUGGCUAAACUUAACAAAGAAAAAGUGGGCCUCCUGGAAGCCCCUGUGACACCCAAUGGAAACGCUCUCAGUAUAGAAAUGCUGGAUUUUAGGUGUUCUACACAUGAAAUUGUCAUUCCAAACUUUACCUGCAACUGUACAGUAUAUUCCAUUUUGUUGCGACUCAAGCGAUACCUCUCUGUUCUAGCAGCAGGCUACAUGGAGAAUGUACCACAUCUAAAGACCUGCAAAGGCAAUACUGAGAGCUUUUCCGUUUCUAAAAGGACAUAUUUGGGUGUUUUUGGAGCAUUUGAUCAUGUUUUUACAGAGCUCCCUUACUGCACAACAAGGAUGAGGAAGUUAAUAUCUAGUUGGGGAAGUUUCUUAAACACAAGUGAAGUCACACUAAAAUAAAUUGUCUACGCCCUUCUAGAACAUGCCAUUUAAAUAAGAAAUGUAGAUUUGGUUUUAAAAAGCAAAGUUCUUCUUUAACUACCCUUUGCAUAAAUGGUGAUGUAGAAGUUAUAUACUGUAGUAGUUUUGCAAAUUUAAAUCCACUGUCAACUCUAUUCCUUCAUGGUAUCCCACUAUGAGCUGUGAGCCGAUACCUGUGGUACUAGCUGUGCCAGCCUGGUGGACUCCUUCACCUGCUCUGCUUUGAGGGCUGCCAGUGCAACGUGGGCUUCGUCUCUGAUGGCGACAAGUGUCUCCAUGGAUACGUGCGGAUGCAUCUACGAAGGCCACUAUGUGAUGGUUGGCCAAGUGGUGUUAACAGAAGUCUGUGACUCGAAGUGUGUUUGCCCCGCCUCUCAGGGCUGGUGAGGUGUGAGAAGCUGAUCUGUGCCAGAGGAGAGUUCAGUGGGCUGAAGGACUGUCAGAGGAUGCCAAUGCAAGCAGGGGCACUGCAUGGUCCACCCUGGUAUCCACUUCACCUCCUUCAAUGGCAUGAGGCGGCCGUGGGCAUAGGGGCGUUCGAGGUGGCCUCUGUGUGACCAGACCUUUGGCCAGUGGUUCAGGGUGGUGGUUUACGCACACGUCUAUAGUAAGGGAGCCUAUCCCAAUGUGGCUACAGUCUAAGUGUUCUCCAUGGAUGUCACUAUCAACAGCCAGCACAACACCUGGAUCAACGGCCAGACUGUGUCCAUCCUCAGCACUCCAGACAAUCAGCGUCGCCGACAGGACAGUGGUCAUCGAGAGGGUGUCCCCUACUCCAUCUCCCAGGAGCUCUUGGUUACUAUUGACAACCACCUGGCGGGUGUUCGGCGCUGCGGCAACUACGACGGUAUUGCCAAGGAAGACAUAACAGGCAAUCCUCCACAGAUGUGACUGUGAUCGUUGGGGACUUCUCUAGCUGGCGAGUGGUUGACGUGUAGAGUAUGAUGUAACUCUUCUUAUAGAGCAGUAGUACAACGAGGGAAUGUACAUAGAACAUCACUGCAGUAUUCCUUCAGUGUCCAAUCAUAAUAUUUCCUUUAAUCCUAUGCCUAGUAGAAGUGUUUUCUCUUUCUCUACAAUACUGUAAACUACUUGCAGAGAGACUCUACCUAUCCUCAUUCCCUCUUUAAAUUAUGUAUCUUGAACUCCAUUUUAAGUGCAAAUGUUAUUUAACCGCUGCAGUAAGAGCACAGAUCAGGCACCCAUGGGUAUGCAGCGAUGCUAGGACUAUUCAACCACUUUUUCUCUUAAAGAACAAGUACCAAACAAGGAGCCUGACAAGUCCUUUUAAGGGAAGGAAAGUGUGGUUUUAAAUUGCAUUUGAACCAUUUUAAUUAAAUGUCAGAAUCCCCUGCGGUAAUUACUGAUUAAAAAACAGGUGAGACUUUUGGCAUUUCAUUAGGUUCCCCAUUAGCUGUUGCAAAAGCAGCAACUUCUCUUCCUGGGAUCCACACAAAACAUGACCGAUGACAUAAUACAGAACAUCAAUAGACAGAACCAGAUCAACAACAAAAAAGGCACACGUAGCCUCAUAUACAUACACACAAACUAUCUAGGUCAAAUAGGGGAGAGGCGUUGUGCUCUGAGGUGUUACGUUUUGAAACAAGGUCAAAUCAAAAUCAAAUCAAACUUAUUUAUAUAGCUUUUUGUACAUCAGCUGAUAUCUCAAAGUGCUGUACAGAAACCCAGCCUAAAACUCCAAACAGCAAGCAAUGCAGGUGUAGAAGCACGGUGGCUAGGAAAAACUCCCUAGAAAGGCCAAAACCUAGGCAGAAACCUAGAGAGGAACCAGGCUAUG